RNAcentral lists this transfer RNA (72 nucleotides) under Heterocephalus glaber (naked mole-rat). It matches the Rfam family "tRNA". From Rfam's summary of the family: Transfer RNA (tRNA) molecules are approximately 80 nucleotides in length. Their secondary structure includes four short double-helical elements and three loops (D, anti-codon, and T loops). The record is from Rfam by way of RNAcentral. Lineage: Eukaryota; Metazoa; Chordata; Mammalia; Rodentia; Bathyergidae.
UGGGGUGUGGCUCAGCGGCAGAGUGCUUGCCUAGCAUGCAUGAAGCCCUGGGUUCCAUACCCAGGUCCACAA